UAGGGAAUCUUCCACAAUGGACGAAAGUCUGAUGGAGCAACGCCGCGUGAGUGAAGAAGGUUUUCGGAUCGUAAAACUCUGUUGUAAGGGAAGAACACGUACGAGAGUAACUGCUCGUACCUUGACGGUACCUUAUUAGAAAGCCACGGCUAACUACGUGCCAGCAGCCGCGGUAAUACGUAGGUGGCAAGCGUUGUCCGGAAUUAUUGGGCGUAAAGCGCGCGCAGGCGGUUCUUUAAGUCUGAUGUGAAAGCCCACGGCUCAACCGUGGAGGGUCAUUGGAAACUGGAGAACUUGAGUACAGAAGAGGAAAGCGGAAUUCCACGUGUAGCGGUGAAAUGCGUAGAGAUGUGGAGGAACACCAGUGGCGAAGGCGGCUUUCUGGUCUGUAACUGACGCUGAGGCGCGAAAGCGUGGGGAGCAAACAGGAUUAGAUACCCUGGUAGUCCACGCCGUAAACGAUGAGUGCUAAGUGUUAGAGGGUUUCCGCCCUUUAGUGCUGCAG
This 505-nucleotide ribosomal RNA is filed under the name uncultured Bacillota bacterium. RNAcentral's name for it is "bacterial SSU rRNA". It matches the Rfam family "Bacterial small subunit ribosomal RNA", at positions 355 to 851 of the family's 1533-position model. Lineage: Bacteria; Bacillati; Bacillota. The record is from RNAcentral.